AACGCACGAGACCUGCGGACCUGCGGAGGGAUCAUUAAUGAGAAGCUGCCCCUCGUGGGUAGACCUCCCACCCUCUGUGAACUUACCUUUGUUGCUUUGGCAGGCCCGUCCCCUGGACCGCCGGCUUCGGCUGGCCCGUGCCUGCCAGAGGAUUCCAAACCCUGUCUGUCAGUGUUGUCUGAGUCUAUAUGAAAUCGUUAAAACUUUCAGCAAUGGAUCUCUAGAUCGGAAGAGCACACG
This 240-nucleotide unclassified non-coding RNA is filed under the name soil metagenome. Its description in RNAcentral is "partial contains 5.8S ribosomal RNA, internal transcribed spacer 2, and large subunit ribosomal RNA". The record is from RNAcentral.